This is a long non-coding RNA of Homo sapiens (human), 1960 nucleotides long. Ensembl annotates it as long intergenic non-protein coding RNA 293. Lineage: Eukaryota; Metazoa; Chordata; Mammalia; Primates; Hominidae. The record is from Ensembl.
UGGUACUGCACAGAACAGACAUUGUGACAUAUAUCUAGGCAAAUUGCCUAGAAGUGAAUCCCCUCUCCUGCUUAAGUCCUUCCCACAGAGAGCGGUUUGAUAUGUCACUGAAACCAGCAUCCAGGUGGUAUUGCUCCAUAUGCCUGAGACCCUAACAAAAGCCUAAUUACAACUCAUAUGCCUGGAGCCAGGACAUGUGCAGGAUGGUGAUGUAACUUUCCUCUCUGGAAUGGGUCCUGCACAAAGGAAUGAUAGUAACAUAUUGCAAAGCCAGACACACAGCCAUGAUGGUCCAAGUUAUAUUGGGAUUCAGCCAAUAGAAGAUAUUUUGCCUGUCAUCCCUAAGCUUAGGACAAUAGGGUCCUGCCCACAAGAAAGAUUGUGACAUCUCACUGGACAAGCACCCACCCAGACUCUGCCAAGAGAGGGGAUUAUUACAUAUUGCAGAGCCCAGCACCUAGGUGGAGUGACUCUCAUCUUUUUCUUCUACCCCGUAUAUAGCCAGCUUGGUGACCUACUAUUUGAGUCUAUACCCAGGCCCAGACCACAGAUGAAAUUGUGCAAUAUGUGGAACAAACACCUAAACAAUAUAUAACACCUUCCUUGGCUCUGUCUACAAAGGGCACUUUUAUAUAUCACUGGGACCAUCAACCAGGUGAUGUUAAUUAUCUUCCUGAAACCUGUCUACAAAGAGAGUUGUGUCGUAUACCUAGGCCCGUCAUGUAAGUGAUGUCAGUCCCUUCUACUGCCUUGGCCCUGCACUUACAGUGCAUUGUGACACAUAACAAGGUACUGCACACAGACGAUGUGAUUCUCCUUUUUGGGUUCUGCCAAAAGGAAGCAUUGUAAUAAAUCGCUUGGCUCAGUACCAAGGUGAUGUUUCUUUGCUUUUGCCUGGGCCCUGAUAACAGGGAGAUUGUGAUCUAUUGCUGGGCCCAACAAAAAUGUGAGGUCACUCUCCAGCCGUGGUACUUCACAUAAGCGCCAUUGUGACAUGUAUCUAGGCCAAUUGCCUAGGUGAAGUGAGUUUCCUCUCUUGCCAAAGUCCUGCCCACAGAGGGGGUUUUGAUAUGUCACUGAAAUCAGCAUUCAGGUGAUGUGACUCUUCUGCCAGGGUCCUGCGUACUAGGUGGAUUGUGACAUCUCACUGGACCCGCAACCAUGUAGGUCAUGUGACUUUCAUGCCUUCUCACUGGCCACAGGUGAUGUUGUGCCAUAUAACUGAGACCGUAUCAAAAGCCUAAUAACAAGACGUAUGUCUGGAGCCCCGAUAUGCACAGGAUGGUGAUAUAACCCUCUUCUCUGGAAUGGGCCCCACACAAAGGAAGGAUAGUGACAUAUUGCAAGCCCAGGCACACAGGCCCAGAGCACAGUUGAAAUUGUGACAUAUGUACACCAAGCAACCAAGCAAUGUAUAACACCUCAUUUGGCAAUGGAAUCGAGGGCACUUUUACAUAUCACUGAGACCAGCGCCCAGCUGAUGUGAAAUAUUGGCCUGAACCCUGCCUACAAAAGCAUUGUGGCUUUUAUCUAGCUCCAUUACAUAAGUGAUGUGACUUCCUUCUACUGCCUUGGCCCUGCACUUAUGGUGAAUCGUGACACAAAAUUGGGUAGAGCAACCAGCCUGGGCCCUGACCAGCACAGAGAUUGAGGCAUAUUGCUGAACCCAGGACCAAGAUGAAGUCACUCUCCUGCCUUGAUCCUGCACACAGGGACCCUUGUGACAUAUAUACAGGCCAAUUGCCUAGGUGAUGUUGUGCAAUAUACCUGAGACCAGAUCAAUGGCCUAAUAAUGACUCUUUUACCUAGAGCCAGGACAUGUGCAGGAUGGUAACUCUCAUCCCUGAACCUUUCCACAGGUGUUAUUGUCACAUAUACCUUUUCCAGCUCCAAAGUGAUUUAAUAAUCCAGCCUAGUUAUAGCCCACAGAUAAUAUUUGGACAUAUACCUGAGUCAAGAA